RNAcentral lists this unclassified non-coding RNA (216 nucleotides) under uncultured fungus. Its description in RNAcentral is "sequence contains ITS1". Lineage: Eukaryota; Fungi. The record is from RNAcentral.
UUAACUAUUAUAUAGUACUCAGACGACACUAAUAUUCAGGGUUGGGGGGUCCUUCAGCGGGCGCCCUCCCCCAGAUGGGGGUAUUAUUAAAGUACCCGCUAGGUAUACCUCGAUACGUGGCCCGCUAAAGCAACAAACAUAGUAAGCACGGGUGGGGUCCUACCCCGAAGGGCAAGGGACACUGUAAUGAUCCUUCCGCAGGUUCACCUACGGAAA